AACGAACGCUGGCGGCAUGCCUAACACAUGCAAGUCGAACGAGACCUUCGGGUCUAGUGCGCACGGGUGCGUAACGCGUGGAAUCUGCCCUUGGGUACGAAUAACCAGUGGGAAACUACUGCUAAUACCGUAUAAUGACUUCGGUCCAAAGAUUUAUCGCCCAGGGAUGAGCCCGCGUAGAUUAGCUUGUUGGUGAGGUAAAGCUCACCAAGGCGACGAUCCUUAGCUGGUCGAGAGGAUGAUCAGCCACACUGGGACUGAGACACGGCCCAGACUCCUAC
This 281-nucleotide ribosomal RNA is filed under the name uncultured bacterium. RNAcentral describes it as "partial 16S ribosomal RNA". It matches the Rfam family "Bacterial small subunit ribosomal RNA", at positions 29 to 342 of the family's 1533-position model. The record is from RNAcentral.